Non-coding RNA from Chlorocebus sabaeus (green monkey), 3701 nucleotides. The record is from RefSeq and is a predicted model, not a curated record. Lineage: Eukaryota; Metazoa; Chordata; Mammalia; Primates; Cercopithecidae.
GUCACUGCCUCUCAUCGGGCUGGGAAGGUGGGGCAGAGGGGUUCCCCAGGGCUAGCAAGGCGAGGGGGCGGGGCGGCUUCCGACCCGACUCCGCGGCGAGGGCAGCCAUUGGACUCGGCUGGGGUGAAAAUGAGGGGAAAGGACUGGGCUCGAGUCUCUGGGGAGGCGGGAAGAGGAAGAAAACACACGCCUACUUUCCUGCUGCGUUAACGGCCUCACUGUGAACACGAGAACUCGGGAGCCUGCUCGCUGUUGUUUUUUGAGGUUUUUUUUUUUUUCUUUUUCUUUUUUCCCCCCCCGUUCUACCUUGCCGAAGCUUGGGCCUAACUUUAACAGGCACUUUUGUAACCUCCACAACCCAAAAAGCUUCGGAACUCAGAUCUUACAGAUUACUCCUCUGUUCUCCCCUUGCCCGGCCAUCCCCAUCAACCCAAACUAAUAAUCUUGCCUUUUGCUCACCGUCUUCCCCAGCCCACAGCGCGCCUUCUGGACCAGUUAAGGUGCGCAGCUUGCCAAACGGGUCUGGUCUGUACUUUUCAUGAAAUGUAAGCGGCUGGAUCCCUGGCAACUUUUAAUGCACAGCCUUUAAGAUGCUUUUUUCUUGAAGCCGAACUGUUGUUUCUUGUGCUGGAGAACUCUAGAGCUGAGAAUUAGCUGGUUUUUUGGAUUGUUUUAACUUUAUUUAAAGAGGGAGGAGGUGGGACGGGAUUACCCUCGGGAAAGGAAAAAAGCCAACUUUCCUUGUCGUGGUAAGCAUUAAAGCUAACCUGACUACUUAGUAACAUAUAGCUAAGUAGAGUAAAUCUAGGUGUUUGUUUUUAAUGACACUAUAGUAUUAAGGAAUUUAGAAGUCUCCUACAGGUAGCUUUUGUUUUUGUUUUGUCUGAGCAGUGAAUGGAUAGGUAAACACGUAACUUUCAAUUUUUUGAAGCUGCGGUGCAAUUCCUUUGUUAAAAACUACCUGGAGAAAGUGGUAAGGGUUAUUUAGGUAGGUUGCUACUUAGGAAGGACAUUCGUUGACAUACUUCUUAGGAAGCGUAAUAUUACGUAUUUGUCACACGCUCCGUGUAAAUCUCUUGGGCUGAUGCUAGGACUUAGUUUAUCCUUUUGCCUUCUCAAGUCUCAUAUAUCAAGCCAGCAAACAUCUAUUGAAGAUCUGGAGUUCUGUGGCCACAGUUUCUGAAUUCUAACUCGUGUGUGUGAUAAAGAAUUUUUCUGGCUUGACUGCAGUGGCAUGAUCAUAGCUCACCACAACCUCAAAUUCCUGGGCACAAGGGAUCCUCCUGACUCAUCCUCCCAAAUAGCUGGGACUACAGGUACACACCACUGUUGAUAAGGAAUAUUAAUUUUACAUUUCACCUGUAAAUUUAAGCAACAAAUAUACAAAGUUUUAAAAGUUAUGGAAUUAUUUCCGAGAUUAGCCGUGCUAGGGAAAGUAGUACAAAAUGGAGGCCAACAAUAUUAAAACUACUUGAUAAUCUGAAAUAUGUGAUGAUUUAAACAGCAAAUUAGUUUCAUUUAAGCUGAAAUUUACUACCCAGGUAACAUUCUCUGUUGAGGGGGAAAAAAUGUAAUAGGACAUGGAUCAUACUUAUCAGACUGCAGCACACUUGAAAAAGUUUUAAUAGAAACACAUACCAGCUUGAUUCAGAUGGGUUGUAUUGGGCCCCUGUUUACAAAUGUGUUUAGGCAAUCCUCAAUAUAGUUCUGAAGUUGUAGUCUAAUUUACGUUAACAAUAAAAAAAAUUAAAAAAAAGAGUUUUUUUAGCAUCCGUUUAAGAGGGCAAAGUCCUUAAAAUUAUCUGGAUUGUAUCACUAGUUAUGCGGGUACCUUCUUAAAUUUUUCAUAAAUAUGUUAAAGGUCUUUAAGAAGUAGAAAUGACCAAAAAUCUAGACUGAAUAGAAAGUGUUAUCUUUUUUUCUUAAAGAUGAGAUGUUACAGGAAAAAUUCUAGAAAAGCUAACAAUUUUUUUUUUCUUUUUCUGUGUUUUUGAAACAGAUAUUCUGAUAAUAUGGGCCCUCUUUUUCCUUAAAUUUCAAGUGAAAUGAGACAGGAACCAUAUAUCCAGGGAAAGGGCCAGAAACCUUUAUUUUAGUUUAACAGCUAUGGUGCCAAAACACAAGCUUCUGAAGUUCUAUGAGCUGAAGUACAAGCUUCUUGGCCUUUCAAGUGAAAUGUUGGUGCUAUGUGUGGGAAAAUUUGGCCGGCCAUGUCAAAAUGGAAAAGGAAUAUAAGUAUGAAAAAAUUUACGUGAUAAACAUGACCAUUUUACUACUAGUGCUUCCUUUAUUAGAAAUGUCUUCUGCAACUUAAAAAUAGCAAUAAAAGUCAAUAGAUACAAAAAUAUUGACCAUAGCAAACAUUUUAAAAGGUUUGGUUCGGGGAGGUGGAAAACAGGCAGCUUGCUUUCCCUACCAUCAUUUCUUCAACAUCCAGCUGUCAUUCAAUCAUGUGUAUGUACUAUCUGAAUUAGAGUAAACAUAAACUUUUCUAUCAAAGAGGACCCAAAACACUAUGGCUUAAAGAACACUGAAAUUUGCUUCUUUCUCACAAAGACUGUACCAGGAACCCAGGUUUUUUUCUCUUAUUGCUGUGCACUUUCUAACUUAUUAUCAUCCACUAUGGCGUUAUUCUCAGCUGCAUGGUUGAAGCUGGGUCAAGGAACUCCAUGAUCUACCUCAUGUGAAGGAAAAAGGAGCUUGUAGGAUCAUAUAUCUAAUGUCUUGAGGCUCAGGCUAAAAAUUACACAUUUCUGUUCAUAUUCCAGUCUGAGAAUGUCACGUGGCCACACCUACCUUCAAAUGAGGAUGAGAAAUGUCAUCUCUAACUGUGUCGUUAUGUACCUUGCUACAACUCUUCCUUAAGAACAGGGACAGGGUGGAGUUUGACGGACAAUUCACAGCAUCUACUUCAUAGGUAUUUGAGUCAUUGAUUUUUGCCAUUGGUAAAGCAUUCUACUUCUCAGGCUUUAAAAUGCGAGCUUCAGAGAAAAUGUAUUAUUUGUAUCAGUUAUAAAAAAAAAAAAAAGACAGCAAAUUCUUAGAAAACUCCCUCCUAGCUUGAACCUUCUUAGAACCCAGCCACCGUUCUGUAAGAAGUCAAAGCUUCAUGGAAAACCCAUAUAUAUAGGUGUUGUGGUCGAUGGUCCCAGCUGAGCCUAGCCUUCAAAUCAUCCCAGCCUAGUCACCAGACAGGAGAGUAAAGACCUAUUUUCUUCUUGGUAAGAGAUCUUCCAUUGUCAGCUCUUCCAGCCCCCAUCAGUUCAAGUUGCUUCCAGCUGUUAGAAGCAUCCUAUUUGAGGUCCUAGACAUCAUGGAAAGAGACAAUCUGCACUAUGCCCUUUACAAACUCCCAAAUCAUAGAAUUUGUAAGCAUAAUAAAACGGUCGGUUGGUUGGUUUGGUUGGGGGUUGGGGAGACAGAAUAAUAGAUAUACAUGGCAAUAAAUACAUGGCAAUAUUUAACUAGAACAUACAUUCCAUGUCAGAUAUUUAAAUAGGCCCUCUUCUCAAAUUUCCCAUGAUAGAAUUUUUUGAAAUAUUUAAGUUAUCUAAAGUGAGUGAUUAAAAACAGUUUAGCUUGGCCAGGAGGAGUGGCUUACACCUGUAAUACCAGCACUUUAGGAGGGCGAAGCAAGCAGAUCACCUUAAGUCAGGAGUUUGAGACCCGCCUGGCCAACAUGGUGAAACCCUGUCUCUACU